CCCACGGCUUACGCCGUGGGCUACUAUUGUGCCGCCCCUCCGGGGCU
This is a small RNA of Planctomycetaceae bacterium SCGC AG-212-F19, 47 nucleotides long. It matches the Rfam family "Acido-Lenti-1 RNA". Lineage: Bacteria; Pseudomonadati; Planctomycetota; Planctomycetia; Planctomycetales; Planctomycetaceae. The record is from Rfam.